GCAAUGACCCUGCGCAGCGGAAAGGUGUAAACCCCGCCAGAUCCGGAAGGAAGCAACGGUAAGCAUUUCUUCUGUGUGCCGCAGCACGCUGUUGUCCG
RNAcentral lists this signal recognition particle RNA (98 nucleotides) under Nitrospiraceae bacterium. Its description in RNAcentral is "signal recognition particle sRNA small type". The stretch from base 6 to 91 matches the Rfam family "Bacterial small signal recognition particle RNA". Rfam says of the family: The signal recognition particle (SRP) is a universally conserved ribonucleoprotein involved in the co-translational targeting of proteins to membranes. The record is from RNAcentral. Lineage: Bacteria; Pseudomonadati; Nitrospirota; Nitrospiria; Nitrospirales; Nitrospiraceae.